This 443-nucleotide ribosomal RNA is filed under the name uncultured bacterium. RNAcentral's name for it is "partial 16S ribosomal RNA". It matches the Rfam family "Bacterial small subunit ribosomal RNA", at positions 338 to 795 of the family's 1533-position model. The record is from RNAcentral.
CCUACGGGCGGCAGCAGUGGGGAAUAUUGGGCAAUGGGCGCAAGCCUGACCCAGCAACGCCGCGUGAAGGAAGAAGGCUUUCGGGUUGGAAACUUCUUUUUUCAGGGACGAAGAAAGUGACGGUACCUGAGGAAUAAGCCACGGGUAACUAUGUGCCAGCACCCGCGGUAAGUCGUAGGUGGCAAGCGUUAUCCGGAUUUACGGGGUGUAAAGGGAGUGUAGGCGGGACGGCAAGUCAGGUGUGAAAACCACGGGCUCAACCUGUGGACUGGAGUGGAAACUGUCGUUCUUGAGUACUGGAGAGGCAGGCGGAAUUCCUGGUGUAGCGGUGAAAUGCGUAGAUAUUAGGAGGAACACCGGUGGCGAAGGCGGUCUGCUGGACAGCAACUGACGCUGAGGCGCGAAAGCGUGGGGAGCAAACAGGAUUAGAUACCCGGGUAGUC